Plectropomus leopardus (leopard coralgrouper) is the source of this 258-nucleotide non-coding RNA. Lineage: Eukaryota; Metazoa; Chordata; Actinopteri; Perciformes; Serranidae. The record is from RefSeq and is a predicted model, not a curated record.
CAUGUUAUGACCAGGCCAAGCAGCUCGUGCUGGGAACAGGCAUGAUGGGAGAUAACAUAUUCACACACUUUCUUUCCAGCUUCAUUGCUGGAGGCUGUGCCACGUUCUUAUGUCAACCUCUGGAUGUACUAAAGACGAGGCUGAUGAACUCUAAGGGAGAGUACACAGGGGUGACACAUUGCUUACGAGAAACUGCCAGACUCGGUCCACUGGCAUUUUAUAAGGUAAAAAACAGUCCUGCACACUACACAUUAUCAC